GUCAAAGACGGCUAAGAUCCAAUUACAAUGGUACCAACCUAAGCCAGGAGGCUGAUGAUUUGAGGUCAGACCAUCCAAUGACGGGUAAGGACCAUAUGUAGUAUUGGACAACCUAAAACAGGCACGGUCCCUAAACCACAUACUUGUUGUUUAAUAAAACAAAAGGGGGGAGAUGUUGGGGACCGCAAAUCAAGUCAACAUGGUGCCUGGCAGUUAGCCAGGAGGAGUGGUUUGUGAGGCAACGCCACCAAGCCAUUAAGAUGGUG
This 266-nucleotide long non-coding RNA is filed under the name Marmota monax (woodchuck). The record is from RNAcentral. Lineage: Eukaryota; Metazoa; Chordata; Mammalia; Rodentia; Sciuridae.